AAGGGAUUAGCUCAGUGGUAGAGCAUUUGUUUUACACACAAACUGUCGAAAGUUCGAAUCUUUUAUUCCUUA
RNAcentral lists this transfer RNA (72 nucleotides) under Drechslerella dactyloides. Its description in RNAcentral is "tRNA-Val". It matches the Rfam family "tRNA". Rfam says of the family: Transfer RNA (tRNA) molecules are approximately 80 nucleotides in length. Their secondary structure includes four short double-helical elements and three loops (D, anti-codon, and T loops). Further hydrogen bonds mediate the characteristic L-shaped molecular structure. tRNAs have two regions of fundamental functional importance: the anti-codon, which is responsible for specific mRNA codon recognition, and the 3' end, to which the tRNAs corresponding amino acid is attached (by aminoacyl-tRNA synthetases). tRNAs cope with the degeneracy of the genetic code in two manners: having more than one tRNA (with a specific anti-codon) for a particular amino acid; and 'wobble' base-pairing, i.e. permitting non-standard base-pairing at the 3rd anti-codon position. The record is from RNAcentral. Lineage: Eukaryota; Fungi; Ascomycota; Orbiliomycetes; Orbiliales; Orbiliaceae.